GUGUUCACUUCUGUAGCACAUACACUAAAAUUGGAAUGAUACAGAGAAGAUUAGUAUGGCCCCUGUGCAAGAAUGACAUGCAAAUUUGUGAAACAUUUCAUAUUUUU
This 107-nucleotide small nuclear RNA is filed under the name Microcebus murinus (gray mouse lemur). The record is from RNAcentral. Lineage: Eukaryota; Metazoa; Chordata; Mammalia; Primates; Cheirogaleidae.